Molecule: ribosomal RNA, 459 nt
Filed under: uncultured bacterium
Lineage: Bacteria
Description: partial 16S ribosomal RNA
Rfam family: Bacterial small subunit ribosomal RNA
Source: RNAcentral
CCUACGGGAGGCAGCAGUGCGGAAUAUUGGUCAAUGGCCGUAAGGCUGAACCAGCCAAGUCGCGUGAAGGAAGACGGAUCUAUGGUUUGUAAACUUCUUUUAUAGGGGAAUAAAGGUAUCCACGUGUGGAUAUUUGCAUGUACCCUAUGAAUAAGCAUCGGCUAACUCCGUGCCAGCAGCCGCGGUACUACGGAGGAUGCGAGCGUUAUCCGGAUUUAUUGGGUUUAAAGGGUGCGUAGGUUGUUUUUUAAGUCAGCGGUAAAAGCCCGGGGCUCAACCCCGGCGAGCCGUUGAAACGGGCUGUCUUGAGAUGUCGAGAGGUAUGCGGAAUGCGCAGGGUAGCGGUGAAAUGCUUAGAUAUUGCGCAGAACUCCGAUUGAGAAGGCAGCAUACCGGCGGCGAUCUGACGCUGAGGCACGAAAGCGUGGGUAUCGAACAGGAUUAGAUACCCCGGUAGUC